This 331-nucleotide ribosomal RNA is filed under the name uncultured bacterium. RNAcentral's name for it is "bacterial SSU rRNA". It matches the Rfam family "Bacterial small subunit ribosomal RNA", at positions 8 to 334 of the family's 1533-position model. The record is from RNAcentral.
AGAGUUUGAUUAUGGCUCAGGACGAACGCUGGCGGCGCGCCUAACACAUGCAAGUCGAACGAGAAAGAGGGAGCUUGCUCCCUUGAUCGAGUGGCGAACGGGUGAGUAACGCGUGAGGAACCUGCCUCAAAGAGGGGGACAACAGUUGGAAACGGCUGCUAAUACCGCAUAAGCCCACGGCUCGGCAUCGAGCAGAGGGAAAAGGAGCAAUCCGCUUUGAGAUGGCCUCGCGUCCGAUUAGCUGGUUGGUGAGGUAACGGCCCACCAAGGCGACGAUCGGUAGCCGGACUGAGAGGUUGAACGGCCACAUUGGGACUGAGACACGGCCCAG